GGAAGGCUGGAAAGUGGCUUGGCUAUAGUUCAGCUUUAGGAUGAAGGCCAUCACUAGCUUGGCUGCCCUGUCCAAUUUCAACUUCCUCAUGAAGCCCAGCUACAAAUCCAGAUAGAAACUAUUUUUAGCUCCAGUUGGUCAGUAGCAGAUGCUGAACUAUAAGAGUUCUGGAACCUUCAGCAUUACACAGGAAGGACAAUUGAAGCUGUUGGAAGGAGCAGUCCCAAGAAGGAGUUGAACAGCAGGAAUAUAAAACCAUGGUACACUAAAAGGGACAUCACUAGGGAAAAAAAAUCCAAGGAAAAAAUAUUCAAAAUGAGAAGUUAAAAUGGGGAAUAGAGAAAUAAGACAAUUACAGGUACUAAAGGAAGAAGACACCUUUGCAAUGAUAAAUAAUGGGUGGACGGUGGUGAGCGGCAGCCUCUAUUUUAUCUUUUCCAACUGAGUGACAUUUUAUGAGGCCCAAAAGAUCUGUGAAUCCAUAAACACAACGCUGGCUAUUGUCAUCCAUCCCCAGGUAGAGUUAUUUGUGGAGUCUCAGUCCCAAACGUUAAAUCAAGGAAUCUGGAUUGGUUUGCAAUUUUUUGAGAGAAACUGGUAGUGGAUUGAUGGAAAGACACUGUAUCAUCCACAUUUCUGGAUGAAAUAUAAGCCAGACCCCGCCUCCUUCAAAAGGGACAAGUGUGUUGAAAUUAAAAAAAAAAUAUCCUACACCUGGGAAUUGCUGGAGCAAUCUUAACUGCAGUGCGAAAAGAAUCCCAGCUUGUAAACUGGACCCCAGUCCAAAGGGAAUGGGAUAAAAUUGGUGUUUCCCAUUCUCUACUCAAAUAUAUAAAAAACAAAACAACAGCAAAAACCGUAGCAAAAGUCAAUGGUUUGGCUCUGUAAAGAAAAUUCUACCAAGUUUACCUGCAGAACGGUGUUGUUUCAAAAACCUUUGAGAGUUGUGGAUGACAACUUCUGCCAAAUCCUUCAGUUAUAGCUCACUUCUGGUAGCAAAAGAUCAAUAGAUUGCAGUCGCUGUAAUUUGUCCCCUGACAAUGUUUCUUCAACAACUAGUUUCUCCUUCUGAUUGUGAUUACCUGUGCACAUUUUAAAAAUUUUGAAAAAAAAAAACUUUCCUGUU
Pantherophis guttatus is the source of this 1126-nucleotide non-coding RNA. The record is from RefSeq and is a predicted model, not a curated record. NCBI's taxonomy places the organism in Eukaryota, Metazoa, Chordata, Lepidosauria, Squamata, Colubridae.